CGUCUCAGCAGAGCAGGUGCGGUCCGUUGGUUUUCUUCGUCACGUGACCACGUCGCUUCGUUAAGUGGCGGUCAUGGAAAAUUACACUUCAGAACCCCGUGUUUUGACAGGAGGAAACUUCGAUUACUUUAGCGUUGCCUUAUUGAAUUAGGUUCAAAUUACCACGUUGAGUGAACAUUACAUCAAAAGCUCAAAAUAUGAUUCAAGUAUAACUACUGGACCCGGACCAAAAUGCCAAAAUACCAAAAUAAAAAUAUGAAACCUGUUGAACUUCAGCGUGUAAAACGGAUUUGAACAGUAGAGGGCGCCAGAGACCAAGAUAUACACGGAUUGUGUGCGAGGGGAUGGGCUCACAAAGCCGCUGUCAGCCUCCACAGCAGACCUGGCGGCAGCAUGUGGUCGCGUCCUCCAUGUGAGCGCCGCCGCCUGAGGACCGCGUCCAGCCAGCGAGGCGGCGGUAACCCGCGGUGACGGCUGAUGGCGGGCAGCGAAGCGCAGGCUUCACACGGCAAAGCACCAAGACCGCCUGCCGCCGCCGCCGCCCUGUAAAACAAUCUGCUGCCAUGGCGACGGGCAGUGUUGGCGACAGCCACAGUUUAACCGGGAGCGGGACAGAGAAGAAUGUGUGGGCCGAGUGGGUGACCGCUUCAGCUAAAAGCUGGUGUCAGAACGUGAGAUGUCGCAGAUAUCGUCUUGCAGGCACCAGGAAAGCUGCAGAAAGAUUUAAUGAGCCCCAGGUAUUAAACAGUGCUGCAGCGACCAUGUCGUAAAGCUCAGCAGCAGCCUCUACGGACGUCACUGCCUCAGACUGGAGCUGCCAGUGGCUUUAAUGUGGUGUGUCUUCAUUCUAGUCUCUUUGUCUCUAUAAUCCUCCACUUCAGGCUUGAGGCCUUGAAAUGCUGCUAAUAACGUGCCUCCUGAGAUGAAGCGUGACUGCGUCUUCCGCCCGCUGUCGUCUGAGGCAUCGUUGCUUUGUCUCAUAAUGAUGCAGCGAGCACCAGGAAUUCAGGUGAGC
RNAcentral lists this long non-coding RNA (1015 nucleotides) under Betta splendens (Siamese fighting fish). RNAcentral describes it as "lncRNA (ENSBSLG00000024185.1)". The record is from RNAcentral. Lineage: Eukaryota; Metazoa; Chordata; Actinopteri; Anabantiformes; Osphronemidae.